This is a long non-coding RNA of Struthio camelus australis, 2357 nucleotides long. The record is from Ensembl. Lineage: Eukaryota; Metazoa; Chordata; Aves; Struthioniformes; Struthionidae.
GGAACUGUUGUUUUGGCACCUGCCACCAGCACUCCGUUCCUUAUGGUCAGAGGCAGCUCUUCCACUGAAAUAUUGAUAACCCCGUUAUGUUGUUGUUCUGUAGACUGGCAGAGGCUCUGCAUAGCAUAGCAAAUGGUUGUAUUUCGGUACGUGUUCUGGAAUUUGCAUUUAUGUGCCUAUUAUUUUAAUACGAUUGUGUAUUUACUAUAUAUUACCCUGUUUUCUAGGCGCCUGUGCGGAGGGAUUCUGGUGCAAAAGUGGUGCCCGAGUGAGAAACCCCCGAGAUGGAGAGUCAGGACUGCCUUGUCCUCCUGGUCAUUACUGCCCUGAAGGUACGAUGCUUUGCUUAGGACAAUUUUUCCUUAAUUCAUGGUGAAGCAUGAGAUGGGAUUUCCUCUCUCUGCUGCGUUUCACGUUGCCAGGUGCACCACUUCCGUUACAGUGCCCUCCUGGCACUUGGUCUGACAGUGAAGGGGGUAGGAAUUUGCAGGAGUGCCAGCCUUGCCCUGGGGGAUAUUACUGUAACAGCUCUGGACUGAGGGCCCCUUCAGGACAUUGCAGCCCAGGGUAAGUAGAAGAGUGAACAUAAUGCUGUAUUUUAGGUAAGGAGGGGUGUUCCAAGAAGGGGGCAGAAGCUUUAUUUCCUUGUUUUCCUUGAAAUAAGGAGAACGUGUUCCUGUGUUCACUGCCGCAGGUAUUACUGCGUCUCCGGGGCCCAGACUCCAGCACCCACUGAUGGCCUCUCAGGAGCUCCAUGUCCCAUCAGACACUUUUGCCCUCUUGGAUCCAGGAGUCCAGCUCCAUGCCCCCCUGGCUCCUACAUGCCACAAACCCAUGGAGAGGAGUGCCACGCUUGUGCAGAGGGUGAAUACUGUGUCCCUGGUGAAAAGCCACAGCCAUGUCCUCAGGGUUUCUACUGCCCCGGAGGAACAGGUUUAGACUGGCAGCCCUGCCCGCCAGGUACUUAUAGCCCCGAGCAAGGACAGGGAAGCAGAACCAGCUGCAGAGCUUGUGAUGGAGGGAAGUUCUGUCAGUAUCACAAUGCAACUGCUGUGACUGGAGAGUGCUGGGAAGGUUACUAUUGCACUCAAGGAUCUUAUAAGCCUAACCCAGAUGCCGUGAUACAAGGCCGAGCUGGUCCCUGCCCUGCAGGCCAUUACUGUCCCCGAGGCACUUCUGUCCCCACACCGUGUCCUGUGGGAACUUUCAGCUCAAGGAGCAGGAUGAGCUCAGAGACCCAGUGUUCCCCAUGUCUGCCUGGGCAUUACUGUGAUGCUGCUGGCCUUCCAGCCCCUACAGGACAGUGUGCAGAGGGGUUCUACUGCACACUGGGAUCCACUCUUCCCAAUUUCCCAGUGGUGGACAAGGCUGGAGGUCCCUGUCCCAGAGGUAGGCUAUUAUGGGCGCUUCUCAGACUUGGCCAGUUUGCUGAAUGAGGGUUAAAACUCCCCGUAGACUUCAGGCAGCUCUGAGACAUUCUGACUCUUGAAAUUUCUCAGUGCCUCGGGGGGCUUCUCUGUGGUCUGUUUUAGGACACGUGGAAGCGUCAAGCAAAAUUGUCAUCCUGCUCUGACCCCUGGAAAUACUGCUGAUUCUGAUCUUUCUUUUUCAGGGUAUUUCUGUCCCAAGGGCACAGCUGUUCCAAUGGCUUGUCCAGCGGGGUCAUACAACCCUUCACAAAGGCAAGCCAGCUGCCUCCCCUGUGCUAAAGGGUAAGACUGAGACGACGAGCUUACUUUUGUGCGUGUGAGUUAAGACCUAUUGGAAGUGCUGGUGUAUCCAGUCAACUUGGGGCAGUGUGUGGCAGGAAAAAUGACCGACUUCACCGCUGAGGAGCACCUGUCUGUGAACAGAAGCAGAGCAACUAUUGAACUCUGCUUAGCAGCACUGUACAGUUGAUUACGGGACAUGGCCAAGUCCUUAACCCAGAUGCGACCCUGUCAGAAGGGAAUUUAGAUCAGAAGGUUGCUCAAAGCCGGGACAGCAGGAAACUGUUGGCACCGUCGACUUCUUUCGUGUCUGAAGCAGUAGAUACUUCCCUUGGCAACAGGCUGACAUAGCCCUGAUGAAGGGGAACGGGGUCUUGUGUAUCACCUGAUGCUGAGUCUGGCUUUUCCUUAGGGGAUUCAUCUCCAAUUACCAGUCAGAUUUGGCCUUGAUUAACUUCUGCGAGUUGAUGAAGCACAGUCCGGAUAUGUUAUGACUCAAGUUAAGAAAAUGAUGUCUCUGUGGCUUUUGCAAUUACGCCAUCCAUUUGGCAUGCGAGGAAACAACUAAGGGAACGUGCUAAUUUACAUAAGUAGGUCUGUUUUAUGGUCAAUGCAGAGCAGUGCAGCAGUAGCCUCCUUAGACUAGCC